This 460-nucleotide ribosomal RNA is filed under the name uncultured bacterium. RNAcentral's name for it is "partial 16S ribosomal RNA". It matches the Rfam family "Bacterial small subunit ribosomal RNA", at positions 338 to 795 of the family's 1533-position model. The record is from RNAcentral.
CCUACGGGAGGCAGCAGUGAGGAAUUUUGGUCAAUGGACGAGAGUCUGAACCAGCCAAGUAGCGUGAAGGAUGACUGCCCUAUGGGUUGUAAACUUCUUUUAUAUGGGAAUAAAAUGUUCCACGUGUGGGAUUUUGUAUGUACCAUAUGAAUAAGGUUCGGCUAACUCCGUGCCAUCAGCCGCGGUAAUACGUAGGAUCCGAGCGUUAUCCGGAUUUAGUGGGUGUAAAGGGAGCGUAGGUGGAUUGUUAAGUCAGUUGUGAAAGUUUGCGGCUCAACCGUAAAAUUGCAGUUGAUACUGGCAGUCUUGAGUACAGUAGAGGGGGGCGGAAUUCGUGGUGUAGCGGUGAAAUGCUUAGAUAUGACGAAGAACUCCGAUUGCGAAGGCAGCUCACUGGACUGCAACUGACACUGAGGCUCGAAAGUGUGGGUAUCAAACAGGAUUAGAUACCCGGGUAGUC